This 327-nucleotide long non-coding RNA is filed under the name Ananas comosus (pineapple). Its description in RNAcentral is "long non-coding RNA (ACOM_LNC017999)". The record is from RNAcentral. Lineage: Eukaryota; Viridiplantae; Streptophyta; Magnoliopsida; Poales; Bromeliaceae.
GUCGUAGAAACAGAGAGAAUGAGAUUUGGUUUUGAAUUUUGGAAGAAAUAAGACCCUAUAACCGGAUAUAUAAGCUGCUGUUAUAGUAACCGUACUGGUACACGGGUUUGUGUACCGGUACACAGUCCCAAAUUUCGAAAAAUUUACAUUAAAAAUCUAUUAAUCUUAAAUUAAUUUUAUAUAAAUUAAGAAUUUUAUUCCAAAAAUUAUUAUAAUAAAAAUAAAAUAUUAUAAGAUUUCAAAAUACAUCGAAACACCAAAAUUUCAUAAUAAAAAAUGACCUCAAGUUGCAAAAUCAUCAAGAUGUAACGGUUCACGAAAAAUAAU